Long non-coding RNA from Nycticebus coucang (slow loris), 486 nucleotides. RefSeq lists it as uncharacterized. The transcript is spliced from 2 exons. The record is from RefSeq and is a predicted model, not a curated record. Lineage: Eukaryota; Metazoa; Chordata; Mammalia; Primates; Lorisidae.
CCUCGUCAGGACCCGGCUCUGCCCUCAGAGUCAGUCUGGAUGCAGGCGUGAUUCAUCUUGCACAGAUGAGGGGGGAUAAAAGGAAAAGAAUAGUCAGGACAAAUGUGUUUUCAAUGGUGCUUAGCAGCAGGAGGCCACUGGGACUUGAGAGCUGUGUUACUGGAGUGUGACAUCAUAAUACGCUGAAUACCAGAGUCUUACCCUCUUGGAGUUUAUGAGCCAAUUUCUCCCAAGACUGUGAGCUUCUUGUGCUUCCAGAGGACUUGUCGGGGGCCAACCCGCCCAGAGUGACAGCGACUCUGCGUCUGGAAGCCCCACUGGGUUGUGAAAUGAACAAGGCCCUCUGUGCCCCUGAUCCAGCCGGUCAAGCCCCGGGGCUCCAGGAAGGAACAUCUCCCAUCUCCUACUGAAGAGCAGACAUAUAUCCUGCCUUUAGGACAAGACUACAAUUGCAAAUCCUAGAAUAUAAAUUACACUUUCAUCUUU